AGUGAAUAGAUACCCGGGUAGUCCACGCCGUAAACGAUGUCAACUAGCAAUAGGGAGAGUCGACCCUUUCUGUUGCGAAAGCUAAACGCGUCAAGUUGACCGCCUGGGAAGUACGGCCGCAAGGCUAAAACUCAAAGAAAUUGGCGGGGGCUCGCACAAGUGGUGGAGCAUGUGGUUUAAUUCGACAACAACCGAAAAACCUUAUCCGGGGUUUGACAUCUAAGGAAUCUCUAAGAAACUAGAGAGUGCCCGCAAGGGAGCCUUAAGACAGGUGUUGCACGGUCGUCGUCAGUUCGUGGCGUGAGCUGUGAGGUUAAGUCCUUGAACGAACGAAACCCUUGUCCUAUGUUGAAUUUUUCAUAGGAGACAGCCCUGGUAACAGGGAGGAAGGUGGGGAUGACGUCAGAUCCGCGUGGCCUUUAUGCCCCGGGCGACACACGUGCUACAAUGCCGCAGACAAAGGGUUGCCAAGCCGCAAGGCGGAGCUAAUCCCAUCAAAAUGCGGCUCAGUUCGGAUUGGAGGCUGCAACUCGCCUCCAUGAAGCCGGAAUCAC
RNAcentral lists this ribosomal RNA (554 nucleotides) under uncultured bacterium. RNAcentral's name for it is "bacterial SSU rRNA". It matches the Rfam family "Bacterial small subunit ribosomal RNA", at positions 774 to 1335 of the family's 1533-position model. The record is from RNAcentral.